Molecule: ribosomal RNA, 253 nt
Filed under: uncultured bacterium
Lineage: Bacteria
Description: partial 16S ribosomal RNA
Rfam family: Bacterial small subunit ribosomal RNA
Source: RNAcentral
UACGAAGGGGGCUAGCGUUGCUCGGAAUCACUGGGCGUAAAGGGCGCGUAGGCGGGUUUUUAAGUCAGGGGUGAAAUCCUGGAGCUCAACUCCAGAACUGCCUUUGAUACUGAAGAUCUUGAGUUCGGGAGAGGUGAGUGGAACUGCGAGUGUAGAGGUGAAAUUCGUAGAUAUUCGCAAGAACACCAGUGGCGAAGGCGGCUCACUGGCCCGAUACUGACGCUGAGGCACGAAAGCGUGGGGAGCAAACAGG